AACUCUCACCUGCAGCACUCUUUUAUUAGAGGGCUGGAGCGUGGACGUGAGUGCUGCUGGUGCCCUCGCUGCAUCGGCUCACUUGAAAUUUAUUAGCUGAAUCCUCUAGUGUUGGUUCUACUCGACGUGAUAAGAUCUCCGUCGAGGACAGUUGCUCCUUGUGGGCGGCUGGCCAUCGCUAGCUGUUGAUACGCUCCUAAUUAGCGCAGACUUCGAGUGCUGGCAACUUUUGACA
This 235-nucleotide unclassified non-coding RNA is filed under the name uncultured Cystofilobasidiaceae. RNAcentral's name for it is "sequence contains ITS2". Lineage: Eukaryota; Fungi; Basidiomycota; Tremellomycetes; Cystofilobasidiales; Cystofilobasidiaceae. The record is from RNAcentral.